This 1511-nucleotide long non-coding RNA is filed under the name Mustela putorius furo (domestic ferret). RNAcentral describes it as "lncRNA (ENSMPUG00000028991.1)". The record is from RNAcentral. Lineage: Eukaryota; Metazoa; Chordata; Mammalia; Carnivora; Mustelidae.
UGCAGAUGUGAUCAGAUUAAGGAUAUUGAGAUGGAGAGAUGAUCCUUUGGUUGGGAGAUCAUCCCAAUGCCAUCACAGGGGUCCUUAUAAGAGGGAGGCAAGAGAGUCAGAGAAAGCAAUCUGAGGACAGAAGCAGAGGUGACAGAGGGGAGAGACAAAAAGCAGGGAGAUUUGAAGAAGAUGCUCCACCACUGGCCUUGACCAUGGAGCAAGGGUCCGUGAGCCAAGGAAAGCAGGUGGCCCUGGAAGCUGGAAGAUAAGGAAAUAAAUUCUUCUCUAGAGCCUCCAGAAAGAACACAGCCCUGCCAACCUACUCUAAAUUUCCCACCUCCAGAAGUAGAAGAGUAAAUCUGUGUUGUUUUCAGCUACUCAAUUUGUGUAAUUUGUUACAGCAGCCAUAGGAAAACUGUUGCAGGGCAAGAAGGUGAGUCAGUUCUUCCUCAAAUUAUGAAGCAGCCGUUUGCUUUUAUUCUCCCUGGCCUCAGCUUCUGUAGCUUCACUUUAGUUCAAUCUGACAAGCAUUUGUUGGGCACCUGCUGAGUCCUAUAUGCAGAAUUCCUGCCUGGCCCCUCUGUCUACACAGAUCUCCAGGCUUUCAAGAAGGACACCUCUACCAGGCAACAGCUCCUGCAGCUAUUUUUCUAAGAAGGUGUGUCAAAUAUCCAGGUGCCUCUUCUAUGUGAGCACUCAGGAGGCCGCUCUUCCAGGUCUACCUACAGCACUUCCAUGGGAGCCUUGCCGAGAUCCAGGCAGAAGAGACCGUGCUCUCUCGCGUGCUCCUGUGCUUUGCGUGUGCCUCUGUGAUGAAGCUCCCGCAUCAGCCCAGGAGGACUGGCAUUUCACGUGGAUCCGUGGCAUUAUAGUAUGGCCCUUUAUUUGGAAACUGGUGGAAGUGAAGAUAGUAGGAUUGCUGGCAAACGACCACUAUUUUCCUGUCUCUGUGGGGUCAGAGAGUUGGCAGCCUGGGUGACAUUGGAAGGAGACAUUGGAAGCUAAAGACAAUGGGGGCUCUCUCUCCCCUGCAGACAGGUAUUUACAACCGAAAGGAUACUGGAGCCAAGAGAUCUUGUUGUCUCUGCAGAGAGCACUGGUUCACAUCCCAGAGCAGAAGUUUUCUUUCUUUCUGGGUUGGAGGAGAAGCAGCUCUGCCAGCAGCUCCUAUGAUCUCCAAGACUCUGAACACCCAUGUGUCUGGUGUGCGGCGCUGACCCCGUCCGUAUACAGCACAGCUGGACCACACCACACUGCCCCGCGGGAGGUGCAGCUUGGGGACCUGGCACGAAGAGGGCCGGGCCAAUAAAUAGACAUCUGUCUCUGAUCCCAAAACCCUGCAUUUUCUAUCAGGACAAAUAAAUAAGCCUAGAUAUGAAAACAGGCGAUGUGAAAUGAGGACAUCCACAUUUUUGUAAUUUGACCUAGGAUGGAUCUCUUAUUUCUUAGAUAAAUAUUCUAGAGUGGGGUAGAGGGGUAUGUGAAGAAAAAACCAGGGAAGAGAUCAAUAAAAUCUGUGA